Molecule: ribosomal RNA, 1948 nt
Filed under: human gut metagenome
Description: bacterial LSU rRNA
Rfam family: Bacterial large subunit ribosomal RNA
Source: RNAcentral
UUAAGCGACUAAGCGUACACGGUGGAUGCCCUGGCAGUCAGAGGCGAUGAAGGACGUGCUAAUCUGCGAUAAGCGUCGGUAAGGUGAUAUGAACCGUUAUAACCGGCGAUUUCCGAAUGGGGAAACCCAGUGUGUUUCGACACACUAUCAUUAACUGAAUCCAUAGGUUAAUGAGGCGAACCGGGGGAACUGAAACAUCUAAGUACCCCGAGGAAAAGAAAUCAACCGAGAUUCCCCCAGUAGCGGCGAGCGAACGGGGAGCAGCCCAGAGCCUGAAUCAGUGUGUGUGUUAGUGGAAGCGUCUGGAAAGGCGCGCGAUACAGGGUGACAGCCCCGUACACAAAAAUGCACAUGCUGUGAGCUCGAUGAGUAGGGCGGGACACGUGGUAUCCUGUCUGAAUAUGGGGGGACCAUCCUCCAAGGCUAAAUACUCCUGACUGACCGAUAGUGAACCAGUACCGUGAGGGAAAGGCGAAAAGAACCCCGGCGAGGGGAGUGAAAAAGAACCUGAAACCGUGUACGUACAAGCAGUGGGAGCCUCUUUAUGGGGUGACUGCGUACCUUUUGUAUAAUGGGUCAGCGACUUAUAUUCUGUAGCAAGGUUAACCGAAUAGGGGAGCCGAAGGGAAACCGAGUCUUAACUGGGCGUUAAGUUGCAGGGUAUAGACCCGAAACCCGGUGAUCUAGCCAUGGGCAGGUUGAAGGUUGGGUAACACUAACUGGAGGACCGAACCGACUAAUGUUGAAAAAUUAGCGGAUGACUUGUGGCUGGGGGUGAAAGGCCAAUCAAACCGGGAGAUAGCUGGUUCUCCCCGAAAGCUAUUUAGGUAGCGCCUCGUGAAUUCAUCUCCGGGGGUAGAGCACUGUUUCGGCAAGGGGGUCAUCCCGACUUACCAACCCGAUGCAAACUGCGAAUACCGGAGAAUGUUAUCACGGGAGACACACGGCGGGUGCUAACGUCCGUCGUGAAGAGGGAAACAACCCAGACCGCCAGCUAAGGUCCCAAAGUCAUGGUUAAGUGGGAAACGAUGUGGGAAGGCCCAGACAGCCAGGAUGUUGGCUUAGAAGCAGCCAUCAUUUAAAGAAAGCGUAAUAGCUCACUGGUCGAGUCGGCCUGCGCGGAAGAUGUAACGGGGCUAAACCAUGCACCGAAGCUGCGGCAGCGACGCUUAUGCGUUGUUGGGUAGGGGAGCGUUCUGUAAGCCUGUGAAGGUGUGCUGUGAGGCAUGCUGGAGGUAUCAGAAGUGCGAAUGCUGACAUAAGUAACGAUAAAGCGGGUGAAAAGCCCGCUCGCCGGAAGACCAAGGGUUCCUGUCCAACGUUAAUCGGGGCAGGGUGAGUCGACCCCUAAGGCGAGGCCGAAAGGCGUAGUCGAUGGGAAACAGGUUAAUAUUCCUGUACUUGGUGUUACUGCGAAGGGGGGACGGAGAAGGCUAUGUUGGCCGGGCGACGGUUGUCCCGGUUUAAGCGUGUAGGCUGGUUUUCCAGGCAAAUCCGGAAAAUCAAGGCUGAGGCGUGAUGACGAGGCACUACGGUGCUGAAGCAACAAAUGCCCUGCUUCCAGGAAAAGCCUCUAAGCAUCAGGUAACAUCAAAUCGUACCCCAAACCGACACAGGUGGUCAGGUAGAGAAUACCAAGGCGCUUGAGAGAACUCGGGUGAAGGAACUAGGCAAAAUGGUGCCGUAACUUCGGGAGAAGGCACGCUGAUAUGUAGGUGAAGCGACUUGCUCGUGGAGCUGAAAUCAGUCGAAGAUACCAGCUGGCUGCAACUGUUUAUUAAAAACACAGCACUGUGCAAACACGAAAGUGGACGUAUACGGUGUGACGCCUGCCCGGUGCCGGAAGGUUAAUUGAUGGGGUUAGCGCAAGCGAAGCUCUUGAUCGAAGCCCCGGUAAACGGCGGCCGUAACUAUAACGGUCCUAAGGUAGCGAAAUUCCUUGUCGGGU